RNAcentral lists this ribosomal RNA (252 nucleotides) under uncultured bacterium. RNAcentral describes it as "partial 16S ribosomal RNA". It matches the Rfam family "Bacterial small subunit ribosomal RNA", at positions 524 to 776 of the family's 1533-position model. The record is from RNAcentral.
UACGGAGGAUGCGAGCGUUAUCCGGAUUUAUUGGGUUUAAAGGGUGCGUAGGCGGAUCGUUAAGUCAGUGGUCAAAUUGAGGGGCUCAACCCCUUCCCGCCAUUGAAACUGGCGAUCUUGAGUGGAAGAGAAGUAUGCGGAAUGCGUGGUGUAGCGGUGAAAUGCAUAGAUAUCACGCAGAACCCCGAUUGCGAAGGCAGCAUGCCGGCUUCCGACUGUCGCUGAAGCACGAAAGCGUGGGGAUCGAACAGG